GAUAUGUUCAAAAUUUUGUUCUUUGACGUCAACUGCCUAGGUUGCAACAACUAUUUAUAUCGAGCGCAACCUCAUCUAUGUGUCAUUCAUUCGAGUAAAUCACGACGCGUGGGCAGCUCGCAACAAUGAACUUCGCAAUAAUUCUCUCAAUCAUCCUCGCUUCAACGAACUUUGCCGGGUCGCAACAGAGCAGUGGCUGCGAGUCUGUACAAUGUCCAACGAGGAAUAAAGACGUUAAACCGCACCCUUUGCGCUGUGAUAGCUUCUGCAGGUGCGACUUCGGAACACCAGUCACGGCGAAAUGCCCUCGUGGACUACAUUUCAACCAACAUCUAAAGGUUUGUGACUUGCCCGAGAGAGUGAGAUGCACCAUAGAGGUUUCUGCCAGCAAUAAGUGUCAAGGAGUGCGGUGUCCUGCCCAGAACUUGGGCUUUGCUGUGCACAAGCCAAACCCUGGUGACUGCGGCAGUUACUGCAAAUGCAAUUGGGGAACUCCGAUUUGGUUCAAGUGCCCGAGCGGGCUACACUUCAAUCCAGAGCUUGAGGUGUGCGACUGGCCCCGGAACGCUGGAUGCACAGCUGAGAACGUGGACUCUUCAACCAGCCGGUCUCCAGAGAUGACCACUUUAGCCCCUACAAUUCCGACCCUUACCUCUACUGAAUUAAUAUCAGAAACACAUACAACAAUGAUAAAUACGAUAACCACACAGACACCAUCCACGUUUGAAACUACGACAUGGCCGACAUCUAGCGCUCCAACCACAGAUGAUGCUACUUCAGAAUAUUUUGAAAUUUUUACUGAGGUUUCUGACAUGGAGUGUGAAACUGAUAUAUACUGCUAACUAUAAGCAAAAUACAAGGUUCUUAAGCCGCUGAACGUUUAAGAUUUUCCUUAUUUGUAUUUUUAAGAAGUAAAUAAAGCUAAUUCGAAAAGAUAAUAUAA
Molecule: long non-coding RNA, 943 nt
Organism: Cloeon dipterum
Lineage: Eukaryota; Metazoa; Arthropoda; Insecta; Ephemeroptera; Baetidae
Exons: 2
Source: RefSeq, a predicted model, not a curated record